This 435-nucleotide long non-coding RNA is filed under the name Ictidomys tridecemlineatus (thirteen-lined ground squirrel). RNAcentral describes it as "lncRNA (ENSSTOG00000032957.1)". The record is from RNAcentral. Lineage: Eukaryota; Metazoa; Chordata; Mammalia; Rodentia; Sciuridae.
GGGUCCCGGGCGGGCCGCGCCCCGAGCUGGGCUUGGCAGAGACCUCGCCCAAGUUCACGCCGGCCCGUUCUGGACUGUGCUCUGGAAGAGGUGGUGCUGGAAUCCCCUACCCCUACUGGAGCUGGACCGUCUGGGGACGGGACCUUGUAGAUGUGGCAGCCCCUGGCUUCAGUGAGCUGGGAGGCCCCGGGCAGCAAUUCCACUUCUGCCAGAAGUGGGGAAGACACUGGAGGAGCUGGGAGACAAAGUGAAGCCUGGCGUUGAAGAGUAAGUCCAUUGUUAACUCCCAGCUGGGGCAGUCACUCUGCCUUUGCAACUCUCCUGUAAAUCUUCAGUUUUUCCUCAAUAAAAUAAGUUUUUGAAAACCCAGGAAGUUGGCCUUUAUCUGCUCUUGACUGACUUCCAGUUCUUGCAGGCCUUUGCUCCUGUUUCCUA